This 252-nucleotide ribosomal RNA is filed under the name uncultured bacterium. Its description in RNAcentral is "partial 16S ribosomal RNA". It matches the Rfam family "Bacterial small subunit ribosomal RNA", at positions 524 to 776 of the family's 1533-position model. The record is from RNAcentral.
UACAGAGGUCCCAAGCGUUGUUCGGAUUUACUGGGCGUAAAGGGUGCGUAGGUGGCGGGGUAAGUCUGGUGUGAAAGCUCCGAGCUCAACUCGGAAAAGCAUUGGAAACUAUCCCGCUUGAGGGUCGGAGGGGAGACUGGAAUUCUCGGUGUAGCAGUGAAAUGCGUAGAGAUGUGGAGGAACACCGAUGGCGAAGGCAGCCUCCUGGGCCAGCACUGACGCUCAUGCACGAAAGCGUGGGGAGCAAACAGG